This 195-nucleotide small nuclear RNA is filed under the name Zostera marina. RNAcentral describes it as "U2 spliceosomal RNA". It matches the Rfam family "U2 spliceosomal RNA". Rfam says of the family: U2 is a small nuclear RNA (snRNA) component of the spliceosome (involved in pre-mRNA splicing). The record is from Rfam by way of RNAcentral. Lineage: Eukaryota; Viridiplantae; Streptophyta; Magnoliopsida; Alismatales; Zosteraceae.
AUACCUUUCUCGGCCUUUUGGCUAAGAUCAAGUGUAGUAUCUGUUCUUAUCAGUUUAAUAUCUGAUAUGUGAGUCAUUGACUCACACGAUAUUAAAUUAAUUUUUUUUGGGUGAAGGUUCACCACAGUGGCUUGCCAUUGGAACCUUUGAACGUCUUCAUUCCGUUGCACUAUUGUUUUGACUGGCGUAACCCUA